Molecule: ribosomal RNA, 644 nt
Filed under: Clostridioides difficile
Lineage: Bacteria; Bacillati; Bacillota; Clostridia; Peptostreptococcales; Peptostreptococcaceae
Description: partial 23S ribosomal RNA
Rfam family: Bacterial large subunit ribosomal RNA
Source: RNAcentral
GUUUCGGCUAGGGGGUCAUCCCGACUUACCAAACCGAUGCAAACUCCGAAUACCCAGAAGUGCCGAGCAUGGGAGACACACGGCGGGUGCUAACGUCCGUCGUGAAAAGGGAAACAACCCAGACCGCCAGCUAAGGUCCCCAAAUAUAGCUAAGUGGGAAACGAAGUGGGAAGGCUAAAACAGUCAGGAGGUUGGCUUAGAAGCAGCCACCCUUUAAAGAAAGCGUAAUAGCUCACUAGUCGAGUCGGCCUGCGCGGAAGAUGUAACGGGGCUCAAACCACACACCGAAGCUGCGGGUGUCACGUAAGUGACGCGGUAGAGGAGCGUUCUGUAAGCCUGUGAAGGUGAGUUGAGAAGCUUGCUGGAGGUAUCAGAAGUGCGAAUGCUGACAUGAGUAACGACAAUGGGUGUGAAAAACACCCACGCCGAAAGACCAAGGGUUCCUGCGCAACGUUAAUCGACGCAGGGUUAGUCGGUUCCUAAGGCGAGGCUGAAAAGCGUAGUCGAUGGGAAACAGGUUAAUAUUCCUGUACUUCUGGUUACUGCGAUGGAGGGACGGAGAAGGCUAGGCCGGCCGGGCGACGGUUGUCCCGGUUUAAGCGUGUAGGGGGUGUGACCUGGUAAAUCCGGUUGCAUACUAACCC